AUAAUGUAUCUCCAGAAAGAAAAAAAAAGGAAAAAUUUCAGGUGAAGAACAUGAAAGGAAAUUCUUGAGAGAAUAAUUGGAUUGGUAUCCAGAGAGAACUGAAUGGUGGGACCAUGUUUCCAGAUCUGAAGAGGUCUAGGAGACUAAGGAUUUUCAUGUGGAAUAGAGGUUUUUAACCUGGGUUCCAAGAACUUCUAUAUGGAUACAAAGAGAAACUAAAAAGGACGCGACUGCCAGGAAUCCAUGCUGUUUGGAGUCCAUCACCACCCAGGUAGCCGUGGAACCCUUUGAAAGUGGCUCUCGGCUGCCACUGGACGCAGGAAAAAUCAGGACUCAUCACUGGGGAAGGAAGCAUGAAAGAGAACAUUCUGCAGACCUUGAAUGGAAGCUUCAGGAAUGCAGAUGCAUGUGUCACAGCUAAAGACAGAAUUCUGGCUCCUGGUCACAGCAGGGAAAAACAAUUUGCACAUUCAUGAAUUAUGGUUCAUUUUACACUUCUGUUCUCAAGGCUAAUCAUUUGUUUAAGUAAGUCCUUUGUCUUGAUUAGAGCUUUUAGCAAAUGUAAGUGUUUAGUGAGCCCGGCUCCCUGUUGUGAAAAUGCAAGACUUAUGAAAUUUAAACACACUCCUGGAAAUAGAAACCCGCCUGUAUUUAUCAAUGGCCGUAACCCAGGCAGAAUCUUUUAUUUAAACAAUUAACUUUGGGAAUAGAUGUGCAAACAAGCCCAGUUCAUAAAGUUAUUCAUGUCCUUC
Long non-coding RNA from Monodelphis domestica (gray short-tailed opossum), 752 nucleotides. RefSeq lists it as uncharacterized. The record is from RefSeq and is a predicted model, not a curated record. Lineage: Eukaryota; Metazoa; Chordata; Mammalia; Didelphimorphia; Didelphidae.